GUGCCAGCCGCCGCGGUAAUACAGAGGUGGCAAGUGUUGUUCGGAUUUACUGGGCGUAAAGGGUCCGCAGGCGGCUUUGUGUGUCAGAUGUGAAAGCCCACGGCUUAACCGUGGAAUGGCAUUUGAAACUACAGGGCUAGAGUACAGGAGAGGAUAGGGGAAUUCAUGGUGUAGCGGUGAAAUGCGUAGAUAUCAUGAAGAACACCGGUGGCGAAAGCGCCUAUCUGGACUGAUACUGACGCUCAUGGACGAAAGCCAGGGGAGCAAAGAGGAUUAGAAACCCGGGUAGUCC
This 292-nucleotide ribosomal RNA is filed under the name uncultured bacterium. Its description in RNAcentral is "partial 16S ribosomal RNA". It matches the Rfam family "Bacterial small subunit ribosomal RNA", at positions 505 to 796 of the family's 1533-position model. The record is from RNAcentral.